RNAcentral lists this ribosomal RNA (1437 nucleotides) under Neobacillus drentensis. RNAcentral describes it as "bacterial LSU rRNA". It matches the Rfam family "Bacterial large subunit ribosomal RNA", at positions 1399 to 2829 of the family's 2925-position model. Lineage: Bacteria; Bacillati; Bacillota; Bacilli; Caryophanales; Bacillaceae. The record is from RNAcentral.
AGGCCGAAAGGCGUAGGCGAUGGACAACAGGUUGAUAUUCCUGUACCACCUCUUUAUCGUUUGAGCAAUGGGGGGACGCAGGAGGAUAGGGUAAGCGCGCUGUUGGAUAUGCGCGUCUAAGCAGUUAGGCUGAGAAGUAGGCAAAUCCGCUUCUCACUAAGGCUGAGCUGUGAUAGCGAGGGAAAUUUAGUACCGAAGUUCCUGAUUCCACACUGCCAAGAAAAGCCUCUAGCGAGAUAAAUGGUGCCCGUACCGCAAACCGACACAGGUAGGCGAGGAGAGAAUCCUAAGGUGAGCGAGAGAACUCUCGUUAAGGAACUCGGCAAAAUGACCCCGUAACUUCGGGAGAAGGGGUGCUUUUUGAGGUGAAUAGCCUCGAAGAGCCGCAGUGAAUAGGCCCAGGCGACUGUUUAGCAAAAACACAGGUCUCUGCGAAGCCGCAAGGCGAAGUAUAGGGGCUGACGCCUGCCCGGUGCUGGAAGGUUAAGAGGAGGGGUUAGCUCACGCGAAGCUCUGAAUCGAAGCCCCAGUAAACGGCGGCCGUAACUAUAACGGUCCUAAGGUAGCGAAAUUCCUUGUCGGGUAAGUUCCGACCCGCACGAAAGGCGUAACGAUCUGGGCACUGUCUCAACGAGAGACUCGGUGAAAUUAUAGUACCUGUGAAGAUGCAGGUUACCCGCGACAGGACGGAAAGACCCCGUGGAGCUUUACUGUAGCCUGAUAUUGAAUUUUGGUACAGCUUGUACAGGAUAGGUAGGAGCCUGAGAAGCCGGAGCGCUAGCUUCGGUGGAGGCGUCGGUGGGAUACUACCCUGGCUGUAUUGAAAUUCUAACCCGCACCCCUGAUCGGGGUGGGAGACAGUGUCAGGUGGGCAGUUUGACUGGGGCGGUCGCCUCCUAAAGAGUAACGGAGGCGCCCAAAGGUUCCCUCAGAAUGGUUGGAAAUCAUUCGCAGAGUGUAAAGGCACAAGGGAGCUUGACUGCGAGACCUACAAGUCGAGCAGGGACGAAAGUCGGGCUUAGUGAUCCGGUGGUUCCGCAUGGAAGGGCCAUCGCUCAACGGAUAAAAGCUACCCCGGGGAUAACAGGCUUAUCUCCCCCAAGAGUCCACAUCGACGGGGAGGUUUGGCACCUCGAUGUCGGCUCAUCGCAUCCUGGGGCUGUAGUCGGUCCCAAGGGUUGGGCUGUUCGCCCAUUAAAGCGGUACGCGAGCUGGGUUCAGAACGUCGUGAGACAGUUCGGUCCCUAUCCGUCGUGGGCGCAGGAAAUUUGAGAGGAGCUGUCCUUAGUACGAGAGGACCGGGAUGGACGCACCGCUGGUGUACCAGUUGUUCUGCCAAGGGCAUCGCUGGGUAGCUAUGUGCGGACGGGAUAAGUGCUGAAAGCAUCUAAGCAUGAAGCCCCCCUCAAGAUGAGAUUUCCCAUAGCGCAAGCUAGU